CCCGGUUCCUAACAUACCUUUGUUUCAGGCGUUUGGAGAGGUCAUAUCCAGUCGUGACAAAUCCAUGCCAGAGGGGAAGAGUACGUUAAGUAGAAAGAAAUUUAGAUUCAAGGUGAAAUCGUAAGUGAUACAUUUACAGAUUUUUCGAGUUCCAUGGUUGCGGAAGGCCUGCUUCUCCUUGAGGCCCUCCGGUGAUGGAGUCGAUGGUCCCGAUGGGAGGCCGAUCCCCGGGUUGCUCCUUCCUUCUUGGCGGUUCAGGCUGCGGAAGGGCCCUUGGUCGAUCUCCUCUACCCUCAGGCCUUCGUCGGAUGAACCUGUCGAGUCGACCUCGCCGAAUGAGCUCCUCGAUCUCGUCCCGGAGCUGGAUGCAUUCCUCUGUGUCGUGGCCGUGGUCGCGGUGGUAGAGGCAGAACUUGUUGGGGUUGCGCUUCCCGGGGUGUGUGCGCAUCCUCUCCAGCCUAGGGAGCUGCUCCCUGACCUCCAUCAGUACCUGGGCCUUCGAGGCGUUGAGGGGGGCGUAGUUGCGGAAUCUCCCUAGUGGGGAACCCCACCGAACCCCACGAUCCGGACUUCUUUGCCUGCACACCCGGGGUGGAGUAUGGGCGCGCCUG
RNAcentral lists this long non-coding RNA (611 nucleotides) under Elaeis guineensis (African oil palm). RNAcentral's name for it is "long non-coding RNA (EGUI_LNC013581)". The record is from RNAcentral. Lineage: Eukaryota; Viridiplantae; Streptophyta; Magnoliopsida; Arecales; Arecaceae.